Molecule: transfer RNA, 82 nt
Filed under: Terriglobales bacterium
Lineage: Bacteria; Pseudomonadati; Acidobacteriota; Terriglobia; Terriglobales
Description: Acidobacteriales bacterium (bioreactor metagenome) tRNA-Val
Source: RNAcentral
GGCGCGUAGCUCAGUUGGUUAGAGCGCUACCUUGACACGGUAGGACAUACCGAAAUAUGAGAUUCCGGUACGUUGUUCUCCA